UGGGGAAUCUUGGACAAUGGGCGCAAGCCUGAUCCAGCUAUGCCGCGUGAGUGAAGAAGGCCUUAGGGUUGUAAAACUCUUUCGCCGGAGAAGAUAAUGACGGUAUCCGGAGAAGAAGCCCCGGCUAACUUCGUGCCAGCAGCCGCGGUAAUACGAAGGGGGCUAGCGUUGUUCGGAAUUACUGGGCGUAAAGCGCACGUAGGCGGGUCUGUAAGUAGAGGGUGAAAUCCCAGGGCUCAACCCUGGAACUGCCUUCUAGACUGCAGGCCUGGAGGUCAGGAGAGGCGAGCGGAAUUCCGAGUGUAGAGGUGAAAUUCGUAGAUAUUCGGAGGAACACCAGUGGCGAAGGCGGCUCGCUGGACUGAUACUGACGCUGAGGUGCGAAAGCGUGGGGAGCAAACAGGAUUAGAUACCCCAGUAGUCCCUGAGCGGGCUGGCAAGGCG
Molecule: ribosomal RNA, 444 nt
Filed under: uncultured bacterium
Lineage: Bacteria
Description: bacterial SSU rRNA
Rfam family: Bacterial small subunit ribosomal RNA
Source: RNAcentral